UACGGGGGGGGCAAGCGUUGUUCGGAAUUACUGGGCGUAAAGGGCGCGUAGGCGGCAAUUCAAGUCAUCUGUGAAAUCUCCGGGCUUAACUCGGAACGGUCAGAUGAUACUGCUUUGCUAGAGUGCAGAAGGGGCAAUCGGAAUUCUCGGUGUAGCGGUGAAAUGCGUAGAUAUCGAGAGGAACACCAGAGGUGAAGACGGGUUGCUGGGCUGACACUGACGCUGAGGCGCGGAAGCCAGGGGAGCAAACGGG
This 253-nucleotide ribosomal RNA is filed under the name uncultured bacterium. Its description in RNAcentral is "partial 16S ribosomal RNA". It matches the Rfam family "Bacterial small subunit ribosomal RNA", at positions 524 to 776 of the family's 1533-position model. The record is from RNAcentral.